GCCCAGACUCCUACGGGAGGCAGCAGUGGGGAAUAUUGCACAAUGGGGGGAACCCUGAUGCAGCAACGCCGCGUGAGUGAAGAAGUACCUCGGUAUGUAAAGCUCUAUCAGCAGGGAAGAAGAUGACGGUACCUGACCAAGAAGCACCGGCUAAAUACGUGCCAGCAGCCGCGGUAAUACGUAUGGUGCAAGCGUUAUCCGGAUUUACUGGGUGUAAAGGGAGCGCAGGCGGCACGGCAAGUCAGAUGUGAAAGCCCGGGGCUCAACCCCGGGACUGCAUUUGAAACUGUGUAACUGGAGUGCAGGAGAGGUAAGCGGAAUUCCUAGUGUAGCGGUGAAAUGCGUAGAUAUUAGGAGGAACACCAGUGGCGAAGGCGGCUUACUGGACUGUAACUGACGUUGAGGCUCGAAAGCGUGGGGAGCAAACAGGAUUAGAUACCCCAGUAUA
This 448-nucleotide ribosomal RNA is filed under the name uncultured bacterium. RNAcentral's name for it is "bacterial SSU rRNA". It matches the Rfam family "Bacterial small subunit ribosomal RNA", at positions 329 to 794 of the family's 1533-position model. The record is from RNAcentral.